RNAcentral lists this unclassified non-coding RNA (430 nucleotides) under fungal sp. Its description in RNAcentral is "partial internal transcribed spacer region". The stretch from base 1 to 46 matches the Rfam family "Eukaryotic small subunit ribosomal RNA", at positions 1786 to 1831 of the family's 1831-position model. The record is from RNAcentral. Lineage: Eukaryota; Fungi.
AAGUCGUAACAAGGUUUCCGUAGGUGAACCUGCGGAAGGAUCAUUAACACGUGAUUUCUCACGUUUUAUCCAAAGUAGUGAACCGUUUCCUACUGUUGACAUCAAGGGGUGAGCACGGAAUGGUGUGAGUGUAACAGCUCUUAGUGCUUGCCUUGAACGUUCGCGUUGUCUGUGUGGAGGCGUAAUAGUCUUGCAUCAUCCUCUAGCGUUCAAACUUGGUCGUCGAUGGUAGGCUGAAAGUUUCGGCUGUGUGGCCCGCACCUUGGCUUUGCAGUUCGGAGCGCUUUAACUAUUUACUGUGUAAUUUUUAUCUGAUUAUGUACGAUCUUUUGAAUUCCGAGUGCAUUUUCACAGAUGUGCUUGUUGAGUUUGAUUGAGAGUCACCAAACUUAAUACGAAACAACUCUUAGCAACGGAUAUCUUGGUUCUC